GAUGAACGCUGGCGGCGUGCCUAACACAUGCAAGUCGAACGAAAAGAUAAGGAGCUUUCUCCCUUGCGGUUAGCGGCUGACGGGUGAGUAACACGUGGAUCAUCUUCCUCUAAUUCUGGGAUAAUAUCGUGAAACAACUUCUAAUACCGGAUAAUACGUCGUACGGCAUGAUUCAAUCGUGAAACGCGCUUUGGCUGUCUCUUAUAGCUGGAUCCGCGUCGUAUUAGCUAGUUGGUAAGGUAACGGCUUACCAAGGCAACGAUGCGUAGCCGAGCUGAGAGGAUGAUCGGCCACACUGGAACUGAGACACGGUCCAGACUCCUACGGGAGGCAGCAGUAGGGAAUCUUCGGCAAUGGGCGAGAGCCUGACGCAGCAAGACCGCGUGAGUGAUGAAGGCCUUCGGUUCGUAAAGCCCUGUUGUUGGGAAAGAACAACUGUGUGUGUAAAAGUAGACGUCGUGACGGUACCUAAAGAAAAAGCACCGGCUAACUACGUG
Molecule: ribosomal RNA, 497 nt
Filed under: uncultured bacterium
Lineage: Bacteria
Description: partial 16S ribosomal RNA
Rfam family: Bacterial small subunit ribosomal RNA
Source: RNAcentral